UUGGAGUCGUUUCGUAGCGCACUGCGCUCUC
This 31-nucleotide small RNA is filed under the name Bombyx mori (domestic silkworm). RNAcentral describes it as "piRNA piR-bmo-1810129". The record is from RNAcentral. Lineage: Eukaryota; Metazoa; Arthropoda; Insecta; Lepidoptera; Bombycidae.